UGGGUUGUGGCACGGCGCUACACUGGGGGAGUAGAGGUCGGAGGUUCAAAUCCUCUCGCCCCGACCA
This 67-nucleotide transfer RNA is filed under the name Candidatus Hydrogenedentota bacterium. RNAcentral's name for it is "tRNA-Pro". RNAcentral also lists the same sequence under 1 other name. The record is from RNAcentral. Lineage: Bacteria; Pseudomonadati; Candidatus Hydrogenedentota.